AGUGGACGCUGGCGGUAGGCCUAACACAUGCAAGUCGAACGGCAGCACAGUAAGAGCUUGCUCUUACGGGUGGCGAGUGGCGGACGGGUGAGGAAUACAUCGGAAUCUACUUUUUCGUGGGGGAUAACGUAGGGAAACUUACGCUAAUGCCGCAUACGACCUACGGGUGAAAGCAGGGGAUCUUCGGACCUUGCGCGAUUGAAUGAGCCGAUGUCGGAUUAGCUAGUUGGCGGGGUAAAGGCCCACCAAGGCGACGAUCCGUAGCUGGUCUGAGAGGAUGAUCAGCCACACUGGAACUGAGACACGGUCCAGACUCCUACGGGAGGCAGCAGUGGGGAAUAUUGGACAAUGGGCGCAAGCCUGAUCCAGCCAUACCGCGUGGGUGAAGAAGGCCUUCGGGUUGUAAAGCCCUUUUGUUGGGAAAGAAAAGCAGCAGGUUAAUACCCCGCUGUUCUGACGGUACCCAAAGAAUAAGCACCGGCUAACUUCGUG
This 492-nucleotide ribosomal RNA is filed under the name uncultured bacterium. RNAcentral describes it as "partial 16S ribosomal RNA". It matches the Rfam family "Bacterial small subunit ribosomal RNA", at positions 29 to 507 of the family's 1533-position model. The record is from RNAcentral.